This 253-nucleotide ribosomal RNA is filed under the name uncultured bacterium. Its description in RNAcentral is "partial 16S ribosomal RNA". It matches the Rfam family "Bacterial small subunit ribosomal RNA", at positions 524 to 776 of the family's 1533-position model. The record is from RNAcentral.
UACGGGGGGAGCAAGCGUUGUUCGGAUUUACUGGGCGUAAAGGGCGCGUAGGCGGCGCAACAAGUCACUUGUGAAAUCUCCGGGCUUAACUCGGAACGGUCAAGUGAUACUGUUGUGCUAGAGUGCGGAAGGGGCAACUGGAAUUCUCGGUGUAGCGGUGAAAUGCGUAGAUAUCAAGAGGAACACCUGCGGCGAAGGCGGGUUGCUGGGCCGACACUGACGCUGAGGCGCGAAAGCCAGGGGAGCGAACGGG